AGCGUGGCUUAGCUUGGCCCACGGCUAAAGCUUUGUCUCCGGCUCAGCGCGGCGCGAAAGCUCAGCGCGCGGCUUGCGGCAUCAGAACGGUAAACGGCAAACGGCAAACGGUUAACGGUAAACAGUAAACAGUACUUACGUAGUCAGCGUUCAACUCAGACCCUAAACGUUGCAUUGCAUUGCGUCGCGUUCUCGUACUUGUAAUCGUACUCGUACUCGAUUUCGGGCAUCGCGCAUCCGGUAAUCGAUUAUCGGUAAUCGAUCAUCUAAUUACGUUCAAAUUAGCGUCAGUGACCAACAAUUUUAUAAUUGAUUAUCGCGCAUUCUGUUGUGUUCUUGUGUUCUGUUUACCUUUUGUUGCGCGUCGUACACAAAACUUACCGAAAGUAAAAAAAAAAA
This is a long non-coding RNA of Drosophila innubila, 399 nucleotides long. RefSeq lists it as uncharacterized. NCBI's taxonomy places the organism in Eukaryota, Metazoa, Arthropoda, Insecta, Diptera, Drosophilidae. The record is from RefSeq and is a predicted model, not a curated record. The transcript has 2 exons.